RNAcentral lists this ribosomal RNA (594 nucleotides) under Aeromonas hydrophila. Its description in RNAcentral is "bacterial SSU rRNA". It matches the Rfam family "Bacterial small subunit ribosomal RNA", at positions 528 to 1131 of the family's 1533-position model. The record is from RNAcentral. Lineage: Bacteria; Pseudomonadati; Pseudomonadota; Gammaproteobacteria; Aeromonadales; Aeromonadaceae.
UAGGUGGCAGACAUCGGAAGACUGGGCGUAAGCGCACGCAGGCGGUUGGAUAAGUUACAUGUGAAAGCCCCGGGCUCAACCUGGGAAUUGCAUUUAAAACUGUCCAGCUAGAGUCUUGUAGAGGGGGGUAGAAUUCCAGGUGUAGCGGUGAAAUGCUUAGACAUCUGGAGGAAUACCGGUGGAGAAGGCGCCCCCCGGGACAAAUACUGACGCUCAAGUGCGAACCCGUGGGGAGCAAACAGGAGUAGAUACCCUGGAAGUCCCCCCCGUAAACUAUGUCGAUUUGGAGGUUGUGUCCUUGAGACGUGGAUUCCGGAGCUAACGCGUUGAUCGACCGCCUGGGGAGUACGGCCGCAAGGUUAAAACUCAAAUGAAUUGACGGGGGCCCGCACAAGCGAGGAACCCCCUGUUUAAUUCGAUGCAACACGAAAUAACCUUACCUGGCCUUGACAUGUCUGGAAUCCUGUCAGAUGCGGGAGUGCCUUCGGGAAUCAGAACAUAGGUGCUGCAUGGCUGUCCCACCUCGUGUCUUGAAAUGUUGGGUUAAGUCCCCCAACCAUCGCACCCCCUGUCCUUUGUUGCCCCUUUCGAGAA